GUUUUUGCAAAAGAACCUAAAUUUUACCAAAAACAUUAACAAUGCCACAGAUUAAAACGAAGAAAAAAAUAUACUAUUUUGGGCUCAGAGUGACCGUUACAGACAACCUAAACAAAAGAUGGCCCUAUCCCUUGACUUUGGAUGAGAAUCCAAUGAGGCUGGACCAUUAUCUUCAAUUUCUUUCAAAAUUAAUUGCAUUUACUGGGAGGACUCCUAUAAUAUGCUGGAACAGUUGCAGGGAAGAACAUUUGCCUCGCUCCUUCUGCCUUAAUAAUGGGAAAAAUGAUUCCUGAUGCACCCGAAAUUAACCUAGCUCCAAUCCAGAAGCGAUGAGGUGAAGGAAAUGGCAGUAACAAACGCCCAACACCAUAAAUUGCUACAGCAAAGAAAUGGACAACCAAGCUCAACGGUCGAGGAUUUAAACCUGAUAGCAAAGAGAUUGGUCCUGUUGAAAAUACACCUCCAAGACUUAAAUAAUCAAAGCAAGCCUGGCGCAUUUCCUUCCUUGCUUCAUCAGAAGAAGCGCAAAACA
Molecule: unclassified non-coding RNA, 532 nt
Filed under: Hevea brasiliensis (rubber tree)
Lineage: Eukaryota; Viridiplantae; Streptophyta; Magnoliopsida; Malpighiales; Euphorbiaceae
Source: RNAcentral